This 492-nucleotide ribosomal RNA is filed under the name uncultured bacterium. RNAcentral describes it as "partial 16S ribosomal RNA". It matches the Rfam family "Bacterial small subunit ribosomal RNA", at positions 29 to 506 of the family's 1533-position model. The record is from RNAcentral.
ACGAACGCUGGCGGCGUGCUUAACACAUGCAAGUCGAACGGUGAAGCGCCUUCCUUUUUGGUGGGUGUGGAUGAGUGGCGAACGGGUGAGUAACACGUGAGUAACCUGCCCCCUUCUUCUGGAUAACCGCAUGAAAGUGUGGCUAAUACGGGAUAUUCUGGGUCUGUCGCAUGAUGGGUCUGGGAAAGAUAUUGUUUCGGUGGGGGAUGGGCUCGCGGCCUAUCAGCUUGUUGGUGGGGUGAUGGCCUACCAAGGCGGUGACGGGUAGCCGGCCUGAGAGGGUGGACGGUCACGCUGGGACUGAGACACGGCCCAGACUCCUACGGGAGGCAGCGGUGGGGAAUAUUGCACGAUGGGCGCAAGCCUGAUGCAGCGACGCCGCGUGAGGGAUGGAGGCCGUCGGGUUGUGAACCUCUUUCGCCAGUGAAGCAGGCCUGCCUCGUUUGUGGGUGGGUUGACGGUAGCUGGAUAAGAAGCGCCGGCUAACUACGU